AUUCUAGUAGCUAUCAACAAAGCAUUGGUCUUGUAAACCAAAGACUGAAGACUAUAAUCUUCCUAGAAUA
Molecule: transfer RNA, 70 nt
Filed under: Platysternon megacephalum (big-headed turtle)
Lineage: Eukaryota; Metazoa; Chordata; Testudines; Platysternidae
Description: tRNA-Thr
Rfam family: tRNA
About the family: Transfer RNA (tRNA) molecules are approximately 80 nucleotides in length.
Source: RNAcentral